UAGAACCUUCACUGUCGCAGGGCCUC
This 26-nucleotide non-coding RNA is filed under the name Rattus norvegicus (Norway rat). Lineage: Eukaryota; Metazoa; Chordata; Mammalia; Rodentia; Muridae. The record is from RNAcentral.